RNAcentral lists this ribosomal RNA (502 nucleotides) under uncultured Bacteroidota bacterium. Its description in RNAcentral is "bacterial SSU rRNA". It matches the Rfam family "Bacterial small subunit ribosomal RNA", at positions 9 to 506 of the family's 1533-position model. The record is from RNAcentral. Lineage: Bacteria; Pseudomonadati; Bacteroidota.
GAGUUUGAUCCUGGCUCAGGAUGAACGCUAGCGGCAGGCCUAAUACAUGCAAGUCGAACGGUAAAUAUUUUAGCAAUAAGAUAUGAGAGUGACGUACGGGUGCGUAACACGUAUGCAACCUACCUUGUACAGGAGUAUAGCUCGGGGAAACUCGGAUUAAUCCUUCAUAAUAUGAUUGGAUGGCAUCAUUUGAUCAUUAAAUUUUCGGAGGUACAAGAUGGGCAUGCGUCUGAUUAGUUAGUUGGCGGGGUAACGGCCCACCAAGACGAUGAUCAGUAGGGGAACUGAGAGGUUGAUCCCCCACACUGGCACUGAGAUACGGGCCAGACUCCUACGGGAGCAGCAGUAGGGAAUAUUGGUCAAUGGAUGGAAGUCUGAACCAGCCAUGCCGCGUGCAGGGAAGAAGGGCCUUCUGGGUUGUAAACUGGCUUUUGCCAGGGGAUAAAAUGGGCGUGCGCGCUUAAUUGAAGGUACCUGGUGAAUAAGCCACGGCUAACUACGU